Molecule: long non-coding RNA, 805 nt
Organism: Chiroxiphia lanceolata (lance-tailed manakin)
Lineage: Eukaryota; Metazoa; Chordata; Aves; Passeriformes; Pipridae
Exons: 3
Source: RefSeq, a predicted model, not a curated record
CCCUCACUAUUUACUCAGUCCCUUUUUAAUCAAGCACCUCCUGUUGUUGAGAAAUUCCUGUUUGCUCUUCCUGAAUCCAGAGGCAAAUCCUCCCUCGUCCCCUUCCCAGAUGGCAGCACCUUAAGGAAACACCUGCUAAUUCCAGCCCUAAUUCCUGGGAGCUGAUCCAUGAAUCCCUCCAUCCCAGGGAGCUAUGAAUGCUUCAAUCCUGGGAGCUCAUUCCUAAAUCCCUUAAUCCCAGGACCUCAUCCGUGACUUCCUCAAUCCCUGGAGCUCAUCCAGGAAUCCAUCAAUGCCGGGAGCUGAUCCAUAAAUCCCUCCAUCCUGAGAUCCAUAAACACCUUCAUCACAGGAGCUCAUCCAUAAAUCCCUGUGGGGUCUGGGGUAUCUGCACAGCCAGGGGGUCAUCCACAGGGACAUCAAGGCCGGGAACAUCCUCCUGUCGCUCCCUGGACUGGUCAAACUGGGCUACUUCAGCUCGGCCCCCGUGGCCUCCCCAGCCAAUUCCUUUGUGGGGACCCCUUACUGAAGCACUUUGGUUAACAAAGAACCUGACAGCAUGUUGGCCCACAUGUUUAAAGAUAAAGGGGAGUAUAUUGAAAUAAACUUUAUUUAUUUGAAGUAAUAAAUUAGCAAAGUAGGCCAAAGGCACUGUCAAGCUGAGAAUCUAAAAUAUCAAAAAUAUAUUAAAGUACCAAAGCAGAAGAUAGAAUUAUUCUUUUAAUAAUUCUUUAUUUCUCUGUUGCCCACCUGUUUAUCAUCUCACAAAGUGAAAAUUCAACUUCCCUCCACAGUUAGUAUUUUG